GACGAACGCUGGCGGCGUGCUUAACACAUGCAAGUCGAACGUGAUUUUUGUGGAAAUUCUUUCGGGAAUGGAAAUGAAAUGAAAGUGGCGAACGGGUGAGUAACACGUGAGCAACCUACCUUACACAGGGGGAUAGCCGUUGGAAACGACGAUUAAUACCGCAUGAGACCACAGAAUCGCAUGAUAUAGGGGUCAAAGAUUUAUCGGUGUAAGAAGGGCUCGCGUCUGAUUAGCUAGUUGGAAGGGUAAGGGCCUACCAAGGCGACGAUCAGUAGCCGGUCUGAGAGGAUGAACGGCCACAUUGGAACUGAGACACGGUCCAAACUCCCACGGGAGGCAGCAGUGGGGAAUAUUGCACAAUGGGGGGAACCCUGAUGCAGCGACGCCGCGUGAGCGAAGAAGGUUUUCGAAUCGUAAAGCUCUGUCCUAUGAGAAGAUAAUGACGGUAUCAUAGGAGGAAGCCCCGGCUAAAUACGUG
This 478-nucleotide ribosomal RNA is filed under the name uncultured bacterium. RNAcentral describes it as "partial 16S ribosomal RNA". It matches the Rfam family "Bacterial small subunit ribosomal RNA", at positions 28 to 507 of the family's 1533-position model. The record is from RNAcentral.